AUUUAUAUAAUAUAUUUAGUAUAUUUGACUUCCAAUCAAAAAGUUUAGAAAAUUUUAAUAUAAAUA
RNAcentral lists this transfer RNA (66 nucleotides) under Ischyja marapok. RNAcentral describes it as "tRNA-Gly". Lineage: Eukaryota; Metazoa; Arthropoda; Insecta; Lepidoptera; Erebidae. The record is from RNAcentral.